GCCAGACUCCUACGGGAGGCAGCAGUGGGGAAUAUUGGGCAAUGGGGGGAACCCUGAUCCAGCGACGCCGCGUGAGUGAAGAAGUAUUUCGGUAUGUAAAGCUCUCUCAGCAGGGAAGAAAGAAAUGACGGUACCUGACUAAGAAGCCCCGGCUAACUACGUGCCAGCAGCCGCGGUAAUACGUAGGGGGCAAGCGUUAUCCGGAUUCACUGGGUGUAAAGGGAGCGUAGACGGCGACGCAAGUCUGGAGUGAAAGCCCGGGGCCCAACCCCGGGACUGCUCUGGAAACUGCGUCGCUGGAGUACGGGAGGGGCAGGCGGAAUUCCUGGUGUAGCGGUGAAAUGCGUAGAUAUCAGGAGGAACACCGGCGGCGAAGGCGGCCUGCUGGACCGCGACUGACGUUGAGGCUCGAAAGCGUGGGGAGCGAACAGGAUUAGAUACCCUUGUAU
This 449-nucleotide ribosomal RNA is filed under the name uncultured bacterium. Its description in RNAcentral is "bacterial SSU rRNA". It matches the Rfam family "Bacterial small subunit ribosomal RNA", at positions 330 to 793 of the family's 1533-position model. The record is from RNAcentral.